GGGUUGUGAGGUUAAGCGACUAAGCGUACACGGUGGAUGCCCUGGCAGUCAGAGGCGAUGAAGGACGUGCUAAUCUGCGAAAAGCGUCGGUGAGGUGAUAUGAACCGCUACAGCCGUCGAUGUCCGAAUGGGGAAACCCGGUGCACUCUGUGCAUCAUUGCAGCAUGAAUACAUAGUGCUGCAAGGCGAACCGGGGGAACUGAAACAUCUAAGUACCCCGAGGAAAAGAAAUCAACCGAGAUUCCCCCAGUAGCGGCGAGCGAACGGGGAGCAGCCCAGAGCCUGAAUCAGCUUGUGUGUUAGUGGAAGCGUCUGGAAAGUCGCACGGUACAGGGUGACAGCCCCGUACACGAAAAGGCACAGGCUGUGAGUUCGAAGAGUAGGGCGGGACACGUGGUAUCCUGUCUGAAUAUGGGGGGACCAUCCUCCAAGGCUAAAUACUCCUGACUGACCGAUAGUGAACCAGUACCGUGAGGGAAAGGCGAAAAGAACCCCGGCGAGGGGAGUGAAACAGAACCUGAAACCGUGUACGUACAAGCAGUGGGAGCCUCUUUAUGGGGUGACUGCGUACCUUUUGUAUAAUGGGUCAGCGACUUAUAUUCUGUAGCAAGGUUAACCGUAUAGGGGAGCCGCAGGGAAACCGAGUCUUAACUGGGCGUUAAGUUGCAGGGUAUAGACCCGAAACCCGGUGAUCUAGCCAUGGGCAGGUUGAAGGUUGGGUAACACUAACUGGAGGACCGAACCGACUAAUGUUGAAAAAUUAGCGGAUGACCUGUGGCUGGGGGUGAAAGGCCAAUCAAACCGGGAGAUAGCUGGUUCUCCCCGAAAGCUAUUUAGGUAGCGCCUCGUGAACUCAUCUCCGGGGGUAGAGCACUGUUUCGGCUAGGGGGCCAUCCCGGCUUACCAACCCGAUGCAAACUGCGAAUACCGGAGAAUGUUAUCACGGGAGACACACGGCGGGUGCUAACGUCCGUCGUGAAGAGGGAAACAA
This 991-nucleotide ribosomal RNA is filed under the name Mesorhizobium sp. RNAcentral's name for it is "partial 23S ribosomal RNA". It matches the Rfam family "Bacterial large subunit ribosomal RNA", at positions 1 to 1025 of the family's 2925-position model. Lineage: Bacteria; Pseudomonadati; Pseudomonadota; Alphaproteobacteria; Hyphomicrobiales; Phyllobacteriaceae. The record is from RNAcentral.